AUUUUCUUAAUAUAAACAGUAUAAAUGACUUCCAAUCAUUAAGUCUUGGUGAAACCCCAAGAGAAAGUA
RNAcentral lists this transfer RNA (69 nucleotides) under Glandirana tientaiensis (Tientai rough-skinned frog). Its description in RNAcentral is "Rugosa tientaiensis (Tientai rough-skinned frog) tRNA-Gly". Lineage: Eukaryota; Metazoa; Chordata; Amphibia; Anura; Ranidae. The record is from RNAcentral.